UUAUAAUGUGUUAUAUUUAUGUACAAAAGUUUGUCUUUAACAUUGAGUUUUCCCUUCUCAUCUUAGAAAUCUUUGAUAUGAGUUGAUGUGCCUAUAUGGAAAUAAGUAGUCAUUCUUUGGGGAGAUGUAAAGUGCAAUACCAGAAACCUUGAAUAACACUAUCAGUUCCCUGUGAAGUGCCACUAGUGAUGCUGGAAUUUCUGCCAAGAAGCAGAGAAAAGUCCUGACGUUACAAGAAAAUGUUGAAUAAUGUUGAAUUGCUUGAUAUGUACAAUGGACUGGGGAUCUGCAGCUGUGGUUGCUCACCAUUUCAAGAUAAAUGAAUCCAGCAUGAGGACCAUUCUAAAAAAGGAAAAGGAAAUUCAUGAAGCUGUCACUGAAGCUAUGCCAGCAGGUGCUAAAAUCUUGCACUUUUUGCAAAAUACCCUUUUAUCUUGUUUUGAAAAUACAGCUUUCAUGUGGGUACAGGAUUCCUAUGAGAAAGACAUAUCCAUAGACUAUAAUGAUUUGAGAAAAUGUGAAGUCAUUAUAUGACAACUUAAAGCAAAAGGAAGGUGAAGGAUCUAAAGCUGGAGAAUUUAAUGCCAGCAAAGGAUGGUCUGAUAAUUUUAGACAGGUGUUUGGCUUUAAAAAUAUCAAGAUAACAAGAGAAGCAGCUUCUGCUGACCAAGAAGCAGCAGACAAGUUCUCAGCCACCAUUAAGAAAAUCAUUGAGAAGAAAGGAUAUCUACCUGAGGUGUUUAAUGUAGACAAAAGUGCUUGACUCUUGGGGAAAAAAAUGCCACAAAGGACAUUUAUUAGUAAGGAAGACAUGAGUGCCUCCGACUAUGAGUAGUCAGACCAUGAGGAAGAAGACAUAGAAGAACCAGUGCCAGAAAACAAAUUGACAGACAAUCUGGCAGAAGGGUUCUGACUGUUCAAGACUGCUUUUGACUACUUCUGACACAGACCCUUCUAUGAAACAAGCACUGAAACUAAAGCAAACAAUGGAAGAAGGAUUGGUACAAUACAGAAACAUUGUUAGAGAAAUGAAAAAGAAAUAAACAAAUUAUGAUGUAUUUCCAUAAAGUUACACCAAGUAUGCCUACCUCUCUCUUGCCUCUCCUUCAACCUCCUUCAUGUAUUCUGCCUCUGCCACCCCAAGACAGCAAUACCCACCCCUCCUCUUCCUCCUUCUCAGCCUACUCAACACAAAGACAACACGGAUGAAGACCUUUAUGAUAAUUCACUUUCAUUUAAUGACAUGUAGGACAUGCCUGCUUCCUCUUUGCCUUCCACCAU
This is a long non-coding RNA of Homo sapiens (human), 1281 nucleotides long. RefSeq lists it as uncharacterized. The record is from RefSeq and is a predicted model, not a curated record. The transcript is spliced from 3 exons. Lineage: Eukaryota; Metazoa; Chordata; Mammalia; Primates; Hominidae.